GCUCCAGGAGUCUCCAGGCGCGCAAACCCUAGGCCCUAGCGAGUAGCGGCGGCGGCGGCGGACCAGCGGUGGCGGUGCCCGGCGGAUGGCGGUAGGCCGCGGCUGGCACUGGCGGGCUAGCCGCUAGGAGGGCGGCGGCCGGCGGGCGGCCUGCGGCAGUGCGGCCGGCGCGCGUUGGCGCCGAGCGGCGAGCGGAGGCGCACGGAGCCGGAGCGGCGGGCCGGCGGCAGGCGGAUCCGCGGCGGCCGGCGAGUGGCGAGCCGGAGGCGGCUGGGGGGUGGACCGGCGGAGGCGCGUGCCUGCCUGCUUGGUCGGUGGCAGGCCCCAGGCGGGCCGCGGGCGGCCUGCGCCCAGCGCGGUGCGCCUCGGCGGCGCCGGCCUGCUCGGCUGCUCGGCGCCUGGCGCGCAGGUGGCGCCUGCAGCCCGCACGGCGCACGGCGCACGCAGGCUGUGAGGCAGGGACCCCGGAGCGGCGGCCGGCCGGCCGGGCCGGCGGCUCCGCGGCGGGCCGGUGGCCGGCGAGCAGGCGGCGGCGCCGCCGUUCGACCCGGCGAGCACGCGGCGACCUACUGGGCGACACGACGAGCACACGGCGACACCGCGACAGUACUAUCGGUCUGCCCCCAAACUGCUGAUUGUUGGUGAAAUUGAGGUUUGAACCAUGAAGAGGAAGGGUAGUGCCGCUACUGAUUUGAGUAAGAUGGAGCAGAAAUAUUUGAAUGGUUGCUUGGUCACAUUGAUUGAAAGGGAAUUCUUCAUGCAAGCUAAAGAUAAAGACAUCAUCGCUCAUUUUCAAAGCAUUGCAGAACGGAAAGUUGUCCUAUAGCUUGUAAGUUGUAAUCUUUGUUACCAUUUUAUUGUUUUAGCCUCUAUUUAUUUCACAUGUUGCCACUUUGAUAUGUUGAUCAUUAGUAGCUGGACAAUUUCAAUUUCUGAUAAUUUUUAUUAAUCAAUGAUGCUGCUACCACUUAAUUAUUAUGUGUUAUAAAACUAUAAUUUAGUCUGUCA
Setaria italica (foxtail millet) is the source of this 1008-nucleotide long non-coding RNA. RefSeq lists it as uncharacterized. NCBI's taxonomy places the organism in Eukaryota, Viridiplantae, Streptophyta, Magnoliopsida, Poales, Poaceae. The transcript has 2 exons. The record is from RefSeq and is a predicted model, not a curated record.